Molecule: ribosomal RNA, 427 nt
Filed under: uncultured bacterium
Lineage: Bacteria
Description: partial 16S ribosomal RNA
Rfam family: Bacterial small subunit ribosomal RNA
Source: RNAcentral
UGGGGAAUAUUGGACAAUGGGCGAAAGCCUGAUCCAGCCAUGCCGCGUGUGUGAAGAAGGUCUUCGGCUUGUAAAGCACUUUAAGUUGGGAGGAAGGGCAUUAACCUAAUACGUUAGUGUUUUGACGUUACCGACAGAAUAAGCACCGGCUAACUCUGUGCCAGCAGCCGCGGUAAUACAGAGGGUGCAAGCGUUAAUCGGAAUUACUGGGCGUAAAGCGCGCGUAGGUGGUUUGUUAAGUUGGAUGUGAAAUCCCCGGGCUCAACCUGGGAACUGCAUUCAAAACUGACUGACUAGAGUAUGGUAGAGGGUGGUGGAAUUGCCUGUGUAGCGGUGAAAUGCGUAGAUAUAGGAAGGAACACCAGUGGCGAAGGCGACCACCUGGACUAAUACUGACACUGAGGUGCGAAAGCGUGGGGAGCAAACA